Molecule: long non-coding RNA, 343 nt
Filed under: Elaeis guineensis (African oil palm)
Lineage: Eukaryota; Viridiplantae; Streptophyta; Magnoliopsida; Arecales; Arecaceae
Description: long non-coding RNA (EGUI_LNC002887)
Source: RNAcentral
UCAAGCAAAGAAAAAUCUUCUCUCUCAAUAACCUCCAUGGCUAAGACAAGGGCACAGAAUAUUUUUGCUGGUUCUAUUCGAUGCUUGUCACGGCGUGACACACCUUCGAUGAUACAUGGAGAGCUGAGUGCUCCACGACCAUCGGUGAUGGUAGAUCCUAGGUUUGCCGCCCUCGUGCAGUAGGUGAAAAAUCAGGUGGAGGCUGUCUAAGGUCUCCAACAACACAGCAACAAUAGUGGCUGGAAAAGGUCGCACCAUGUGAUGCGCCUUCCAAGCACAGCCACCGAUCGUGAUCUCCAACCUGCCACUCUACGUGGCACUCCCACCGAGCAAGUUCUCCACC